GACGAACGCUGGCGGCGUGCUUAACACAUGCAAGUCGAACGGUGAUGCUCCAGCUUGCUGGCGUGGAUCAGUGGCGAACGGGUGAGUAACACGUGAGCAACCUGCCCCAGACUCUGGAAUAAGCGCUGGAAACGGCGUCUAAUACUGGAUACGAAACUGGCCCGCAUGGGCAUGGUUUGGAAAGUUUUUCGGUUUGGGAUGGGCUCGCGGCCUAUCAGCUUGUUGGUGAGGUAAUGGCUCACCAAGGCGACGACGGGUAGCCGGCCUGAGAGGGCGACCGGCCACACUGGGACUGAGACACGGCCCAGACUCCUACGGGAGGCAGCAGUGGGGAAUAUUGCACAAUGGGCGAAAGCCUGAUGCAGCGACGCCGCGUGAGGGGUGACGGCCUUCGGGUUGUAAACCUCUUUCAGCAGGGAAGAAGCGAAAGUGACGGUACCUGCAGAAGAAGCACCGGCUAACUACGUG
RNAcentral lists this ribosomal RNA (468 nucleotides) under uncultured bacterium. RNAcentral describes it as "partial 16S ribosomal RNA". It matches the Rfam family "Bacterial small subunit ribosomal RNA", at positions 28 to 507 of the family's 1533-position model. The record is from RNAcentral.